This is a long non-coding RNA of Oreochromis aureus, 385 nucleotides long. NCBI's taxonomy places the organism in Eukaryota, Metazoa, Chordata, Actinopteri, Cichliformes, Cichlidae. The record is from Ensembl.
GAGAAAUAUUGAUACACACACACAUACACAGAGCCUAAAGGGAACAGUAUUUGUGCCAUGGAGUGUUAACAAGAAUCUGAGGUCCAUAUUAGAAAAGCUGCUAAAAUCAUAAAAGGUUGCAGAAUUGUAAUAAAUGAUGAAUAUGAAUUAGUGGUCUGUGAUAGUGUAUUAAUUUGUAGGGAAAAAAAACAUGUUGCCCAAGGUGUAAUUGAACCCACGACCUUUGGGUUGCAGACCUGUGUCAUUACCAACUGCACCACUGGGAAAGAGAGCGAGCGCCUGGAAAACAGGGUGAUGAGCAGUCAGAAUCAGAUUGCGGUGAGAGGCGAAAAACGCCGCUUUUUGCAGUUACAAAACGUCGUGUAACUCAAAAACUAGGUGGACU